GAUUUUUUUUUUCUCCUGAAGCAACUCUAUAAUUUCCAGAUGGCAGAAACAUCAGUAUUUUCAUGAGGAAGCAACAUGGCUGCCCAUAAUGGAACAUCACCAUCUCAGAAAAAUCAAAAUUUCAGGAAGGAGUUUUUAUAACCGAGUACUACUUAUUCCAAUUGGCACACAAGACAUGUCUAAAUCACCAAGUUUGAGGGAAGCAAAAUGAUUAUCAAGUGGAAGACAUGUGGCUUCUUCAGGGAAUGAGAAAUUGAAACCUACAAGAUGAAAUUUAUCAACUUUCAUAAAGUCGGCUUCAACCAUCAUAAAACUGUUAAACUUCUCAUUAUCAUUCUACCGCAGUUAUUUCUCGAACUCUGGUCUGGC
This 369-nucleotide long non-coding RNA is filed under the name Monodelphis domestica (gray short-tailed opossum). Its description in RNAcentral is "lncRNA (ENSMODG00000050461.1)". The record is from RNAcentral. Lineage: Eukaryota; Metazoa; Chordata; Mammalia; Didelphimorphia; Didelphidae.